GCCUCUUUAAGUCUCAUUUCCACGGUUCAUCCUUUUGUUUCUUCUUCUUUUACAAAACCGAACGCAUAUGAAAGAAUAGGGCAAGCGUACAACUUCAUUUCCUGACAUCUUCCUGCUUCGGUUUCUCCAAAGAAAUCAAAGACAACAACCUUAAGAUCAUACCCCAAGUGAAAGCGCCUUGUAAGAAGCCUUAUUUGGUGAGAUAUUCCCCUUCCAUGGUUGCGACCUCAAGGCUGUCAAGGGAGCUCUCGUGGACUGCCUUCUUUAUUUCUUGUUGGAGAAAAUAUCCUAGCUUCUAGAGAAGUUAAUUAAGAGUGUAAUCGGACGAAGUAGGUGGACGAACAACUUGUAGACAACCAAGUUACGAUGUAUUAAAUAGCAAGUUAGCAGCAGGAAAGAGGUGACAGGAAGUGGACUCUUGGGUGGAGACUGCUCCAUAAACCCCAAGUUUAUUGAGAUUCAUUCUCACCCCGCGUUAUGGGGACAUAUUUCAGGUAUCGCAGCAGUUGACGAUCGUUCUCGGGGCAAGAGGCCCGUGGUUGAUGAGUAGAUCUAAGCAUAGAUGAUGCCUGCUUAUUUUGGUAGUCUGUCGUAUUUAUAUGUACACUGUGAUGUAUUAUGUUUAUGUAGGUUGAUGUAGGAUGUUGUAGUUAUGACACAUAGCCACCUUUUAAUGUGAUAUAUAUAGAGUUAUGGAUCAUGCAUGUAUAUUACUGUAUAUGAUAUGGAAUUGUUGUAUAUUGUGGGUUGUAAGAGCCCCAAGGCAUUGUUGGUCCUUGUGUGUGCCACCCACUGAUUAUUAGGUACCAUUUGAGGUCAUAGACCACUUGUACAAAUUUGGAAAAUGUUGGAAAAACAAAGGAAAU
Molecule: long non-coding RNA, 866 nt
Organism: Gastrolobium bilobum
Lineage: Eukaryota; Viridiplantae; Streptophyta; Magnoliopsida; Fabales; Fabaceae
Exons: 3
Source: RefSeq, a predicted model, not a curated record